GACGAACGCUGGCGGCGUGCUUAACACAUGCAAGUCGAACGGUCAAGCGCUUUCCUUUUUGGUCGGAGUGGAUGAGUGGCGAACGGGAGAGUAACACGUGAGUAACCUGACCCCUUCUUAUGGAUAACCGCAUGAAAGAGUGGCUAAUACGGGAUAUUCUGCUCCUGCUGCAUGGUGGGUGUGGGAAAGAUUGUGCCUUUGGGUGUUUUCGGUGGGGGAUGGGCUAGCGGGCUAUCAGCUUGUUGGUGGGGUGAUGGCCUACCAAGGCGGUGACGGGUAGCCGACGUGGGAGGGUGGACGGUGACACGGGAGCUGGGACACGGACCAGACGCCUACGGGAGGCAGCAGUGUGGAAUAUUGCGCAGUGGGCGCAAGCCUGAUGCAGCGACGCCGCGUGUGAGAUGGAGACGUUCGGGGAGUGAUCCUCUUUCGCGAGUUAAGCAGGCCUGCUCCUUGUGGGUGUGUUGACGGUAGCUGAAGAAGAAGCGCCGGCUAACUACGUG
This 503-nucleotide ribosomal RNA is filed under the name uncultured bacterium. RNAcentral describes it as "partial 16S ribosomal RNA". It matches the Rfam family "Bacterial small subunit ribosomal RNA", at positions 28 to 507 of the family's 1533-position model. The record is from RNAcentral.